CUUGUCUGGCUCACAGAAGGAAUUUGUCCUAGGUAACGUAUGCAUCUGGCACUGUCACUCACCCCUUCUACAGAGAGAAACUUCACUGUAAUCCUUACCAAGUUCAGUCAACGCCCUCAAAGAAAAGCCAAGGAAAUUGUGCCUCAGCUGGUGGGUGCCGUGUGUGAUUGGACUCUGUGGGUACUUCCGAUCCUCCAGCCCGAGUCUGCUUUCUCAGCGCUUCCAGCAGAGCCCAGGCCUGGGAGCAUUUGCCACACUUGAGGAUUCUCAGAGCAACCAGCAGUGUGGAGUGAGACAGCGCUACAUGCUGGGCAGGGGCCAGGUGCUCAGGACUGAAAGAUGAGAAGACAAAGUGGCUUUCUCCAAAGAACUCAGGGUCUGAGGAGUGCUGCAGAUAACGCGAGCAGGGCGACUGCAACAUGGCUAUUACUUGUAAAAAAAAAAGGCACAUGUGAUCUUAGAGAUCUUGGGCUUCACCCAGAGUCACACCCUUCGCCGCUUCCCCUCUGUCCACGCCGGAGCCUUUCAACUGCCUCUCCUGUCUUGCUUUGCAGGAUGUCUCUUUGCUUGGCUUCAAGCUUGGUCUUUCCUUCUGCCUAGCAUCUUGUUUUCCGCUGAGUGGGAUUUCUUCUUUCCCUAACAUUCUGCUUCUCGUCAGGGCUCAGCCUUGGCCUUAUUUCUUGUCUCUGUGGUGAAAGGAAUGAGAACAAGAGAUCCAAUCAUGAAAAAUCCAUCCACUGAACAGGGCUUAGGUGCUGGCGAAAUGUCAGACGCUGGACGUGGAGAGGGCCGGUUAGCCACAGCAGCUGCCACAGCGGGACGCCCAGGGACUUUGGCGCUGCCUCUGCCUACCCAAGCAUCUGCUGGUCUAAAUCUUGAGGAAACCAUGCCGCCCGGAAGCUGCCCGACCGGAUAGACACCCUUCCCAGCUGAACAUGGCCAGGAUCUUCUGACCCAGUUAAGCAGGAAGUGCUGGACUAUGGCUGGCAACUGGGAAGAGUGGAUUUUCCAAGAAGACAAAAUUUCCUUUUUAUUUUUUUGCAUUUGGGGCUGAAUGCGGUAAAUUACACCCUGAUCAUCCUGGGCUCCCAGGUCCUGAGGAAUGUGAAAAGGGAGUGGAGAUUGAGCAACACUGGCUCCUGGGGCCGAGCAAGCCCAAGAUUCUGAGGUCUGCACAGCGCUGGACAGGUCUGGGCCUUUCUGGUAAACAUCUGGUCCGUUUCUCAACACCGGAAUGACCCGCAGAGGGGAAAACACCUGAAGGAAAGCAUCCAGGGCAUGCAGGAAGCGCUUGGGAAGUUUGUACACUGGUGAGAGAGCCAACUUUUUCCAUGGCUGGGGAUGAGCUGUGGCUGUUGGGAGCCCUGGAUGAUGGUGUGUGCUGUCCUCCCCAGCACCUUCUCUGAGCACCCUGACCUGUAGGAACACAGCAGACACAGCCGUGUCUGUCAGAAGGUGACGGAGUGUGGAUUAAGCUCCG
This 1480-nucleotide long non-coding RNA is filed under the name Heterocephalus glaber (naked mole-rat). RNAcentral's name for it is "lncRNA (ENSHGLG00000036626.1)". The record is from RNAcentral. Lineage: Eukaryota; Metazoa; Chordata; Mammalia; Rodentia; Bathyergidae.